AGCGAUUCUCCUGCCUCAGCUUCCCAAGCAGCUGGACUACAGCAGGGAUGACGGCGCUCCUGGAGGCUGGCUGGGAAGCUGGUCAGGGUCCCAGGACUCUGACACCCCCAAUGGCCCUUGUAGCCUUGGGGAGUCCUGUGAUCCAAGGCUGGAGGACUGAGUCCCCUCCAGGUCUCAUAGCAGACGAAUAGCAGCUUCACCCAGGCCUGUUUUGUCGUGGCCCCAUUCAGAGGCCGCCCUCCUCUGUGGUUUAGAGCAUGCCCUGGAAUCCCUAGCACAACCAGGUGACGAGAGUUCCCCGCUGGCCCCCUGCCGCGGGAACACAAAGUACCUUUGCACAUAACCUUUCUUUGUCCUCUGCUGGUGACGGCAAAUAGGGCAGGCCCAGGGCAACGUGGUAAGGUGGCAGAAGUUUGUUUUGGACAGUGUUUGCAGCUUCUCUGUUCCCUUUCCACCAGGGGUUACCUCCUGCUGGCUGACCCCUUCCUGUGCUGCGGGCUGGAAUAUAGGGUUUAACCCUGUUAUAACCCAGAGGAACACAAAAGGAGGAACAUCAGGCUUUAUGGAGAGACUGGAAAUGAAGUGGAGGUUUUCCUUGCUCAUGAAACCUGGCUCACCCUACAGGUAGUCCCAAAGAGAGCUUGUGAUUUUCUUUCCCCUUUGGUCCCCCGACCCCUUCAGAGCUCUCUGGGAAGCUAUGCUCUCUCACUGCUUUCCCUCCCCUGAUCAGAGUCCCUGUGCCAAGGCUCCUGGAUACUGGGGCUGGAAAACCUCCUGUCCCUUCCACCACUCCUGUGCCCUCCAGGGAAGGGGUCUGGGGUCUCGGGGCUCACCCCCACCUGUGUGCCAGUCCCUGUGCUAGGCCUGCACAGACAUCAGCUCGCUGAUCACUACGAGAACCUCAACUCUUCUCCCCAUUUCAUGAGGACACCGAGGCUCAGAGGUGUUCGUGAUACUCAAGAUCACACUGCCAGAGCGUGAGUUACUGGGAUUUGAACUUUGGUCCGUGUGGCUGCAAAGCCAGUGGCUGCUAUGAUUCUCUUUCCACUUGCUGCAGCCCACGUCCCUCUGGGCAAGUCUGACACCCUAGCUGCCCUCAACUGCCUGGCCCCGUGGCGUCCCAGAGGGCGAGGGGAGCACAGGGACUGGGCACAGAGGCCAGCUGGGGUCAAGGCAAGGGGGCUGCCCAGCACAGUGGUUCUGCUCCAGAGGUGCAGUCAGACUGCCUGGGUUGGCUCAUGCCUGGGUCUGUCAUUGUGGGCAGCGUGACCAGCCUAAACCUCAGUUUUCUCUUUUGUCACCUAUGUGCUAAAAAUACUUAUUUCUGGAGAUUCUUGUGAGGAUUAAAUGAGAUCUUCCAAGCCAAGUGCUUUGCAUAGUGACGCAGGGUAGGUGCUCAAGAAAUUUUGUUGUCUGCCUGUGGUCUGGGUGGGGGCAGGGUGGGGCUGCGAUGGUGAAGAAAUGACACAGAAACCCACAGGAAACUUCAUCAUCUAGAUGGUACAUGGAUGGCACAUUCAAGGGAAGUAACGAAACGAGAAGAAAAAACUUUUACAUUUUGGCUGAGCAAAGGCAACAAUAUAAUUACCAUCAUUUAUAAAAACUGCCUCCCAUUAAUGUCUAAUUCCCACAAAGCGCAACAAUGAUUAUCUCAUUAACUAUGUGUCAGAUUAACUUUGUUGCAGGUUUUAUUUGAUUAAAACAGUGAACUCACAACACGUAUUAUGCUCAUUCUUCAUAGUUUGUGGUUUCUGGAGCAUAGUCCUCUGUUGGCAACUUUUUCUAAAUUAGAGGGCACGUUUCUGGGUGGUGCAGACCCCUGUCCCCUCCUCCUCACCCCUACCUUAACAGGGAGAAGCUGCCUGUGGACAGCUCCCAGCUGCACAGGGAAAUCGCUGAAGAUUUCUAAUAGGGAAGUGUCACACUUUGCCAACUCUGGAGAAGACAGAAUAAUUGGCUGGAAUCGCAGACCGGGUCUUGUGAAGGUGCAGUGACACAAUGUGCAUGAAAGAGGCUCGAGCAGGACCUGAUGCACAACCUCCUGCUCCAGAUGCCUGGCUUCUCCAGGGCACCCCGAUGGGUGGCUCUGCCACCCCAGGACACUGGACUGGGGCCACCCUUACAGAACCGGUUCGAAGCCAAACAAUGGCACGUCACAGUCCAGCUGAGCCGGAGGCCUCAGCAGGGCAGCGGGCCCCUUCCCUGGCCCCAGAGGUGAAGGAGGGCGACUUCCCCAGGGAGAGGAAGCAGAAUGACGGCCUGCAGCUUUCCUGCCGCGGGAGGGGAACUUCAGGUCAGAAUGGCCGUCUCAACCUCAUGGAAGCCUCCCUCUGGACUGACGAGUGACCGCUGUUGUGGUGGGAGGUCCACCUUCCCGCAAAGGGAGCCAAGAGCCCAGAGGGGUCACUUGGGCCCAGGGAGGGUGGGACACAGACGUCUGGGUGGAAGUUGGACAAAGUCUGGCAGAAUGGGGCACCAGGGCACAGUAAGACCCUGGCUGGGACACUGAGUGGGGACAGUCCCCAGCAAUUCCCUUGGAGAUAAAGAGCCUGCGGCAGGUCCCAGAUCCUGACAGAGGACAGACAGGAGGGGACAAGCUGGUGGUGGGGGUGAGCUGGCUAGGCAGAAAGCUCUGUGGACACCUGAGGCCUCCUCCUGGAAUUGCCCCAAGCCAUGUGGCUAAGGCCUAGGGAGACCCUCACCAUGUG
This 2708-nucleotide long non-coding RNA is filed under the name Homo sapiens (human). RNAcentral's name for it is "HSALNT0390629". The record is from RNAcentral. Lineage: Eukaryota; Metazoa; Chordata; Mammalia; Primates; Hominidae.